Molecule: ribosomal RNA, 401 nt
Filed under: Pedinellales sp.
Lineage: Eukaryota; Dictyochophyceae; Pedinellales
Description: partial small subunit ribosomal RNA
Rfam family: Eukaryotic small subunit ribosomal RNA
Source: RNAcentral
AUUCCAGCUCCAAUAGCGUAUAUUAAUGUUGUUGCAGUUAAAAAGCUCGUAGUUGGAUUUCUGGUUGGACCGCGAUGCCGGACUAGCAAGGGUUCGUGAUUGUUGUGGUUUCCUUCCAUCCUCAGGUUUGCGCGUGCUGGCCUUAACUGGUCGGUGGGUGUGGUCCUGUCGUUUACUGUGAACAAAUUAGAGUGUUCAAAGCAAGGUGUACUUGAAUACAUUAGCAUGGAAUAAUAAGAUAGGACUUUGGUGGUUCUUUUUGAUAUUUUGUUGGUUUGCACGCCAAAGUAAUGAUUAAUAGGAGCAGUUGGGGGUAUUCGUAUUCAAUUGUCAGAGGUGAAAUUCUUGGAUUUAUAGAAGACGAACUACUGCGAAAGCAUUUACCAAGGAUGUUUUCAUUG